Molecule: small RNA, 178 nt
Filed under: bovine gut metagenome
Description: Bacteroidales-1 6S-Bacteroidales RNA suggested
Rfam family: Bacteroidales-1 6S-Bacteroidales RNA suggested
Source: RNAcentral
CCGCACUGGUUUGAUCGGGAUACUCAUCAGUAAUAUUUAUGAAACCGAGAACGCUUCGCAUGCUAAUGGCGGGCCACGCCCUGUAAUUGGGGUAACCUUAGAGUCGGUGGAUUACAAAGGCUGCGAGCACUCAAAACUUGUUCUUUCGGAGUUUCAUCACAUCACCAGUGCGGUUUUA